UACGGAGGGUCCAAGCGUUAUCCGGAAUCAUUGGGUUUAAAGGGUCCGUAGGCGGUUUUGUAAGUCAGUGGUGAAAGCCCAUCGCUCGACGGUGGAACGGCCAUUGAUACUGCAAGACUUGAAUUAUUAGGAAGUAACUAGAAUAUGUAGUGUAGCGGUGAAAUGCUUAGAGAUUACAUGGAAUACCAAUUGCGAAGGCAGGUUACUACUAAUUGAUUGACGCUGAUGGACGAAAGCGUGGGGAGCGAACAGG
RNAcentral lists this ribosomal RNA (253 nucleotides) under uncultured bacterium. Its description in RNAcentral is "partial 16S ribosomal RNA". It matches the Rfam family "Bacterial small subunit ribosomal RNA", at positions 524 to 776 of the family's 1533-position model. The record is from RNAcentral.